Long non-coding RNA from Etheostoma cragini (Arkansas darter), 1680 nucleotides. RefSeq lists it as uncharacterized. The transcript has 2 exons. The record is from RefSeq and is a predicted model, not a curated record. NCBI's taxonomy places the organism in Eukaryota, Metazoa, Chordata, Actinopteri, Perciformes, Percidae.
ACAAUAUUCAUUUUAGGCUAUGAAUAUAGGGUAUCUAUGGAACUUAAUAAUGCUAUUAGUAUUGACUUUAUUCCACAUUUUCUUAAUCUCCUGUUGUAACACUAUAUUUUUGUGGUACAAUGCGUGACGUAUGAAGGCAGCAUUGUGUUUUUAAUAGUGCAUAAUCGUUAUAAAGGAUUGUACCAUUCAUUUCAUAUAAAAAAUCUGGUUUGAACAAGUUUGAACGUAAAGGUCUUGGCUCUGCUGAGUGCUGUAUAAGUCGUUGAGGGACCGAAAGAGUUAAUUUGUCUCUCUCUGUUGAAGGCUGCGUGGGCUGCGAGAUCAUUCGAGAGUGCAUUUUCAGCGUCCAAUCAGCUGUGCGGAGUCCACUCCGCAUUCAGCCAAUAGGGAGAAUGGGAGGCUCUAUCGAAUUUGAAUGAGGAGUGUAUCUUUCGGCGCCAUUUUCGAGUGAGCAGCGAUUGCCUCAGCAGCUGCGGAGAGAGGAUGCUGCGAAUAUAGAAAGCUGCCGCUGAGACGGGGGAGAAACCAAGCGCUCAAAAUUAAACUGCGCUUUUUAGAGAGGGGAAUCGCAAGAAUCAAUGGAAACACAGGUGGUGAACCUUCUCUCGUCUGCUUUAGUAGUGGACUGAAGACUUCAAUCUGAAGAAAAAUUAAUAUCAUCAUCUGAAAUUUGCGUGGUAGAUAAUAGUCUGUCGCUAUCUGUGAACAUGUGGUUUGGACCAGAAGCCUGGAGGAUGAAGACUAAUAACACAGAAGAUGAAAAGAGUUGGAAGUGGAGGGACUUGACUGCAGCUCUGGUGAUGCUGUAGCAGCACGGAAUGGUUUGUGGGUUACACUGAGAUGCAGACCAUACUGUGUUGCCGCAGUAAAGCCUGAAUAUACAACCUAGCGGUCACUUUGCACUUCUUCUACAGGUUGAAGCUGACUUGUUUGCUAUCACUCCUGGAUUUAGUCUUGACUUUCUAAAGUAAUGCCACGUAGACAAUCGUUUGGCUGAUUUUGCCUUUCUCCUCUGCUGGUCGCCUUACUGUAGCAGCACGUAAAUAUUGGAGUUAAGACUAGCUGAAGCCUCCAGUAUUGAUCGUGCUGCUGAAGCAAAGCUGACCGCUCACAAUCAGUGCAACCAACCACUACUCAGACCAGCCUGGUCGUGCCAAACUGACUGACAGUGAGCGAGUUCUUGAGAGACACAGGUACACUGUUUACACAGCGCUUUUGAGUUAACCUCCAACACUACCUUGCUUUAAUAGUUAAAUUGUGUUUUAAAAUAUUUUUACAUUUAACUGUCACCUCUGCAUACUUGGAAAAAUAAAAUUUAAAUUGUUUUUUGUCUGUGUUUUGAAAAUGACAUGCUGAACUAUUUUUUAACAGAAUGCCGUCCAAUAUAUUUUAAUUCACUUUACACUAAAGGUCUUGCUGAGACUGAAAAUCCCUUACGUGGUUUUAUAUAGGACCGCCAUCCACUAAGAAGAAAGCACCAGAUGGCCUGCGUGGCCUCGCUGCAAAUACUGGGCUGGCCGGCCUGUUGGUGAGCCACGACAGAAAGAUUGGACUGUAGUGGACACACCCUUGAAAUAUAACAAGUCAUUCGGUUUAUGAAGUCCAGAUAGAAUGAUAAUAUGUAUAUUCUUAUGUUCACAACAAUGCUGUUGCAUAUGAAAUGGUGUCCCGUAACAUGGC